Molecule: ribosomal RNA, 1298 nt
Filed under: metagenome
Description: bacterial LSU rRNA
Rfam family: Bacterial large subunit ribosomal RNA
Source: RNAcentral
ACGACCGUACCGCAAACCGACACUGGUGCGCGAGAUGAGUAUUCUAAGGCGCUUGAGAGAACUCGGGAGAAGGAACUCGGCAAAUUGACACCGUAACUUCGGAAGAAGGUGUGCCUUUAGUAGGUGAAGUCCCUCGCGGAUGGAGCCCAAUGAGGUUGCAAAAAAUCGGUGGCUGCGACUGUUUAUUAAAAACACAGCACUCUGCAAACACGAAAGUGGACGUAUAGGGUGUGACGCCUGCCCGGUGCUGGAAGAUUAAAUGAUGGGGUGCAAGCUCUUGAUUGAAGUCCCAGUAAACGGCGGCCGUAACGAUAACGGUCCUAAGGUAGCGAAAUUCCUUGUCGGGUAAGUUCCGACCUGCACGAAUGGCGUAACGAUGGCCACACUGUCUCCUCCCGAGACUCAGCGAAGUUGAAAUGUUUGUGAUGAUGCAAUCUCCCCGCGGAAAGACGGAAAGACCCCAUGAACCUUUACUGUAGCUUUGUAUUGGACUUUGAACAGAUCUGUGUAGGAUAGGUGGGAGGCUUUGAAGUAGGGUCGCUAGAUUCUAUGGAGCCAACGUUGAAAUACCACCCUGGUGUGUUUGAGGUUCUAACCUAGGUCCAUUAUCUGGAUCGGGGACAGUGCAUGGUAGGCAGUUUGACUGGGGCGGUCUCCUCCCAAAGCGUAACGGAGGAGUUCGAAGGUACGCUAGUUACGGUCGGACAUCGUGACGAUAGUGCAAUGGCAUAAGCGUGCUUAACUGCGAGACUGACAAGUCGAGCAGAUGCGAAAGCAGGACAUAGUGAUCCGGUGGUUCUGUAUGGAAGGGCCAUCGCUCAACGGAUAAAAGGUACUCUGGGGAUAACAGGCUGAUACCGCCCAAGAGUUCAUAUCGACGGCGGUGUUUGGCACCUCGAUGUCGGCUCAUCUCAUCCUGGGGCUGUAGCCGGUCCCAAGGGUAUGGCUGUUCGCCAUUUAAAGAGGUACGUGAGCUGGGUUUAAAACGUCGUGAGACAGUUUGGUCCCUAUCUUCCGUGGGCGCUGCAGAUUUGAGGAAGCCUGCUCCUAGUACGAGAGGACCGGAGUGGACACACCUCUGGUGUAUCGGUUGUCACGCCAGUGGCAUUGCCGAGUAGCUAAGUGUGGAAGAUAUAACCGCUGAAAGCAUCUAAGCGGGAAACUCGUUUCAAGAUGAGAUCUGCCGGGGCCUUGAGCCCCCUAAAGAGUCGUUCAAGACCAGGACGUUGAUAGGUCGGGUGUGGAGGCGCAGUAAUGCGUUAAGCUAACCGAUACUAAUUGCUCGUGCGGCAUGACCG